GGCUCAGGAUGAACGCUAGCUACAGGCUUAACACAUGCAAGUCGAGGGGCAGCAUUGGGAUAGCUUGCUAUUCAGAUGGCGACCGGCGCACGGGUGAGUAACGCGUAUCCAACCUUCCUGCCAGUAGGGAACAGCCCGGCGAAAGUCGGAUUAAUGCCCUAUGUUCUUCAAUGCGGACAUCUAAGUUGAAGGAAAGAUUCAUCGCUGGCAGAUGGGGAUGCGUCCGAUUAGCUUGCCGGCGGGUAACGGCCCACCGGGGCGACGAUCGGUAGGGGUUCUGAGAGGAAGGUCCCCCACACUGGUACUGAGACACGGACCAGACUCCUACGGGAGGCAGCAGUGAGGAAUAUUGGUCAAUGGGCGUAAGCCUGAACCAGCCAAGUAGCGUGCAAGGAUGACGGCCCUACGGGUUGUAAACUGCUUUUAUGCGGGGAUAAAGUGCGGCACGUGUGCCGCUUUGCAGGUACCGCAUGAAUAAGGACCGGCUAAUUCCGUGCCAGCCGCGGC
Molecule: ribosomal RNA, 507 nt
Filed under: uncultured bacterium
Lineage: Bacteria
Description: bacterial SSU rRNA
Rfam family: Bacterial small subunit ribosomal RNA
Source: RNAcentral